CGCAUCUUUCUACACACGCACCACACGCCACCAUUUUACAGGUCCAACAUCCUGAGAUGUCCCACCCCACCAGUAUGCGGGGCGAUGGCGCACAGCGGCCAUGCAGCCAUGCCCGGUCCACCACCAAGGACGCUCACCGCACUCAAAACAGAGAAGUGCCGCCGUCGCGCUCGCAGCCGCGCCGCUCCGGAUGUCUUGGCGUGCUCCAGGCCAUCCGUGACGGCGUCAUCAAAGCGGUGUACGUGAUCGUUCCGCCUGGCGGCAUUCUCUCCGGCGCCUUCAACAUGGCGAGUGCAUCCAUCGGCGCCGGCAUCCUUGGCCUGCCGGCGGCGACCGACUCAGCAGGCAUCAUCCUCGCCAUGAUCUUCCUCGCCGUCAUCACGUACUUCUCCGUCUUCUCCAUGUACAUCCUGGCACUCGCAUCGGAGAACACGCGCAUCAAGACCUUCGAGGGCUUGGCGCGCUGGCUCUUCCCGGCGAGAAGGUACGCCUUCUCCUACUGGGCCGCGUUCAUCCGCUUUUUCCACGGCUUUUCUAGCUGCGUCGCCUACAUCAUCAGCGUGGGCAACUGCCUUGGUCCCAUCUUCACCGGCGCCGCAAAGCAGCACCCCGACAACAGAGCCAUCCAGUUCCUCGCCACCACGCAGGGCAACCGCGUGCUCACAGUCAUCGUUUGGCUCUUCGUGAUGCUGCCGCUGGUUAUUCCGAAACACAUCGACUCACUGCGCUACGCCUCCGCCAUCGCGGUGACGUUCAUGGUGUACUUUGUCUUCGUGGUUGUCGCACACAGCUGCCGUAACGGGCUGGCGGAAACGUCCAAGCACGUGAAGCUGUCCGGCAACCAGGCGGAUGACGGCAAGCUGGAGCACAACACCGUCUUUCUUUUUCGCACCGGCAACUCCGUAAUCCACUCCGUCGGCAUCUUUGUUUUCGCGUACGUGUGCCAAGUAAACGCGCAGGAGGUUCUGUGGGAUUUGCGGCCCGAGAUUCGCACGACGAAGAGCUUCACGCUGUCGGCGUUCAUUGGGAUGAUGCUGUGCGGCACGCUGUACGUGCUGGUAAGCGUGUUCGGGUACUUCGACUUUGGCAGCAAGAACCUGCUCGGCAAGUCGCUGCUGCUCAUGUUCAACCCGCUCGAGGAGGCCGACAUCAUGAUUGCCUACGUUGCCGUCAUGAUCAAGGUAUGUGUCGCCUACGCGCUACUCACCAUUGCGGCGCGCAACUCCCUGUACUACCUGAUCGGCUUCCAGCACCGCUACCGCAACCGCACCGAGGCUGGCGGCGCGGAGGAGCUCGGCUUUGUCGCUGGCGGCGCCGACGCCACCGUCCAGCAGACCGCGAAUCCGCCCGCGGCGGUGGCCGACAGCGACGCUGUCCAGUCCUGCAAGCUCGACGGGGUGGACAACAGCCACGGCAUGGAGGGGACAACGAAAGGCCGCAAUCCCUCCCAAACCGUCGAUGAGGACUACGAAGCAGGUGAGGGCGUGGACGAGGAGUACGUGGACGGGACCGCGGAGGACACGACGUACGUGGACAACAUCCCGUUCUGGCAGCACCUGCUGGUCGUGCUUGUGCUCUCCGUCGCGUCGCUGCUGUGUGGCCUGUUCAUCCCGAACAUCAGCACCGUCUUCGGCUUCGCCGGCUCGAUCAGCGGCGGCUUCAUCGCCUUUAUCUUCCCCGCGCUCUUUGUCAUGUACUCGGGCAACUUCACGGUGGCGCAGGUGGGAUGGUUCACGUACCUGAACACGUACCUGCUGCUGAUCUGCGGUGUUGUCGGCAUUGUCUUCGGCACCGGCGGCACCAUCUACGAAACUGUUUGAGCGAGGAUGCGCCAUUUUUGCGGCCUCUCUUCAUGCGUUCUCCCGAGGCAUGGACGGCGAAGACGCUCUCGUGUGCGCGCAUCAAAAGAGAAGACGUGAAAAGGGACUGCUAGCGCCCUCCACUUGCAGCUGUUCCAGCUGGCCUGCAGUGGUGCGUGAACGGCUCGGGGCGUGUGUGUCGCUCUUCUUCGCGUGUAGAAGAGGGUACUGAAAGCUCACGGUCGGAGUGUGAAUGUCUGCACGCCUCUGUGCACGCACGCCGACUGUCAGCAGACAGGCAUAGAGAAAUAAAAACGUUUUGUUUUCUGCGACCAUUUUCUUCUGUGCGUGAGGUAACCACUAUCGAUCACGCGGCGAGGUUUUCGAUCCCUUUUUGUUUCGUUUUCAGAAAGCUGCUGCGGUCGUGCUCGGCGUCUGGCGACGGCGUGUAGGCCAGCGGAGAUGUACGCACGGGUGAAGUGCAGAGGACCGAUUCCUGAGUGCCCCUGGUCCCCCCCUCAGUCUGCAAGUGCUUGGACCUCUAGCAGGUCUGGUUAGUGCAUGUGGGCGUGUGCGCACGUGGCUUGAGGGGUGAGGAGGGGGAAGGCCAUGCACUCAGAGAUCCACCCUUUGCCUUCCAACCCUCCGCCUCCGCUUGUCUUGUCUCCCCGUCCUCAUGUGCCCCUCUCGACGCCAUAAUGCUGACCGUGUCGAUUUUGUUUUCCCCUUUCCGCAUUAUACAAAAGUAAAUCGCCUAAUGUGCGUGCGUGUUGUGGUGGCGUCGUGUCUGGUGCGCGUGUAUGUGCACCUCGCUGCGGUUUUUUUUAGCCUUUGGGUCUUUUUGUGUGACGUCUGAUGCGGCAGUCAGUCAUCCUCCGCACAUCCGAAGCUGAGGUGGAUGCCCCUCGCCCGCGCCAUCGUCAGCAUGUGGUUUUUGUUUUCUCUUGCUUCCUCCUCUAAACGUCUUCGUAGCGUUCUGCAUGGCGGAGUUUCGUGAAAACGAUUGAACGCAUACCUUCAAUGAAAGUGUGAAGUAAGAGGGCAGCGGCGCCCUUCGUCGCCGUCUUGGUCUUAACUGUUCUGGAAGGCGGGGAGCGGAGGCCCGACGCGGCUCGAAGCGCCCCUCUCUUCUCUGGGAACCUGAACAUCCCGUCUUCCUAUUUGUUCGUUGACUCUCGAGAGGGCGCGAGUGCAGAUGUGAGCAGGGCGCCUGCGAGUGAGAGAGUGUGUGCGCGUGUUGUGCGCGACAGAAUCGCGCAAGCCCGUCUGUUCUCUUUCCGCACAGAAGCGUCUCCCAGCUACCUCCUCUCCGCACGCCCACGUCCGUGCAGCCCUUCCCCUUGCCUUGGUAUGUUAGGCCUCCUUUCCGCUCACAUGCGCAACGCUUGUCUAAGGGUACCGCGUGUGGAUAUGGAUUCCCGUCGCUGGAGAGCAUUGAGGCACGUGUUCAGACGACCAUGAGCAAGAGGCGAGCAGGCUUCAUUGGGUGAAGUAAGCGGCAGCUUGUGAGUUGGACGCAAGCAACCCGCGGCGCGGUGAAAUUAGAAAGGCUGAAGAGCCUGACCCUUGGUCGUGGCGUGCUCAUUAGCCUCUAAAGGCUUGUGUAU
This 3406-nucleotide unclassified non-coding RNA is filed under the name Leishmania donovani. Its description in RNAcentral is "gene:LdHU3.31.3160(CDS-product:amino_acid_permeas e)". The record is from RNAcentral. Lineage: Eukaryota; Euglenozoa; Kinetoplastea; Trypanosomatida; Trypanosomatidae.